AUUGAACGCUGGCGGCAUGCUUUACACAUGCAAGUCGAGCGGCAGCGCGGGGGCAACCCUGGCGGCGAGCGGCGCACGGGUGAGUAAUACAUCGGAACGUGUCCUUUCGGUGGGGGAUAACCAGUCGAAAGACUGGCUAAUACCGCAUGAGAUCUCACGAUGAAAGCGGGGGACCCGAGGGUAACUUCGGGCCUCGCGCGAUUGGAGCGGCCGAUGUCGGAUUAGCUAGUUGGCGGGGUAAAAGCCCACCAAGGCGACGAUCCGUAGCUGGUUUGAGAGAACGACCAGCCACACUGGGACU
Molecule: ribosomal RNA, 301 nt
Filed under: uncultured bacterium
Lineage: Bacteria
Description: bacterial SSU rRNA
Rfam family: Bacterial small subunit ribosomal RNA
Source: RNAcentral